UUUGAGGAGCAGAAAAAAAUUGUGAUCGAUCACAAACGAAGCAGCCUAAAAGAGCUUUAGCUAUUAAGACAAAAACAAAUCGACACCAAACUACAAUGGGAACUCGUAUUAUUACUACAUGUUGUACAAUGCAAAAUAUAGUGAUAUGUCAUAUCGUUCAAGUGGCUGAGUCCGUCGCUUUAGAUAAAACGGUGAAAUUUUAUUUUACCUUAAGUUCACAAAACCAAACCGUCUUUUCACCCGCAAGAUGAACGAAGAACAAUGUAUGAACGAAUAACUUCGAAUUCAUUUCAUUGACUGGAGAAAKCGAUUCUUAAAUUGCAUAAAAACUUCUCAAAACCAGUGAAGGAUGAUUCCCCAGCAAGAAGAACUCUGCAUGAGGGAUCAGCAACUGCUGUUGGCUUUUCAGGCGUUCAGGAGACAAAUGAUUCUUCCUCUAGUGAUUCCAUUGAUGUUAAUUUUGUUUCACAAAGAACACCAAAAAAGCCAGUAGAAAGGGAUUGCAAUUGCGUAAGUUUGACUCUACAAAACUUUAUAUGUUGGUAUUUUGUAUAACCUUAUAUACUCCAUCGCACUAACGAUGUCAGUAAGUUGUAAAGACAUUAAAAAAACACAU
Long non-coding RNA from Exaiptasia diaphana, 616 nucleotides. RefSeq lists it as uncharacterized. The record is from RefSeq and is a predicted model, not a curated record. NCBI's taxonomy places the organism in Eukaryota, Metazoa, Cnidaria, Anthozoa, Actiniaria, Aiptasiidae. The transcript has 4 exons.